RNAcentral lists this long non-coding RNA (1426 nucleotides) under Sorghum bicolor (sorghum). RNAcentral's name for it is "long non-coding RNA (SBIC_LNC009563)". The record is from RNAcentral. Lineage: Eukaryota; Viridiplantae; Streptophyta; Magnoliopsida; Poales; Poaceae.
AGACAUGGGGUGGAUGCGGAGGGGAAAGCUAGUCACACAACAUCCCACUCAAGCCCACAUACUAUUUCUGUUUCCACUCCUGUAUGCCAAAUAUAUUCAGCAAAAGGUGCACACUUAGUUACGGAUUUUUGGCAUAUCAAAACUUCAGUAGUAGUACUAGCAAGGAAAAUAUUUUGAUAGCAGGCAUGUAAUGUAACUUACCAGCCAAAUAUCGUUACUCUUCCUAGGCCUCAGCUCAGACCUGUAUCCACACCAUGUAUGACUGAUCUGUGCCACUGCUGAAUAUCUGUCUUGGGUGCAGACUCAUACACAAGCGUUGACCUUCUUCAGUGUGGAUUGCACAGAGCUAGGCAGUCCAAGGAUAGAACCUUCCGGGACUGAAAGCGUCGAUGAGUUUGUUGAGAAAUAUUUUAAACUAUAUAAAACAUUUGAAGCAUGCAAAAUUUGCAAGGGCAUGUAUAAUACUAACCAAUCAAAUUUCUUGACACCUCCCAAGCUCACUGCUCUAUGUAGAUAGUACAUCUUAAGAACUAUGGAGAGCUAGGGAUUUCUACAGAUACGACACCAUGAGAACUAUGAGAGCCAGGAACUUUUGAACAUUGUAAGGUCAUCGUUUUCGGUACUACUAAGGGCCUGUUUAGAUGCCAAAUCUUUACAUCCCAAAACAUUUGGCUGUAAACUUUACAUUCAAAUAGGUGUGCCCUCCAUUUUUACAGUGCAAUCUCUGUUGUCUGUCAUCAUGGUCACGGGUGCUACUCAACAGUUGUGUAAAAGCAUUCACAAAAAAAAAAGAAAAACAGCUGAGUAAAAGCUUGCAGCUCCUUUGAAUUUCACCAUAUGGCAGUGGGCCACAAAUGAAGAACAAAUUAUAUUGAUGAGUUACUCCACUUUUACUCAUGUAAGUAUGCUUUGUUGCUUUCGGUAUGUGAAAAACAUUAUGAAUUAAACACUUUAACUCUACUCCUACCUUAAUGUGCAGGUCUUUUGAGUAUUGGAGAAAAAGACAUUAUGAAACGUUCCUGCCCAACAGCCUAAACGGCAAGCCACAGGUAUUGACCAAAGCAUGAGUGUUUUGAUUGACCAGAGACGUCGGGAACAAAGUCGUGCUGGAACAUGCAAUUGUUCUCCUUCCUGAUCAUCCAGGCCGAGAGCAAUGACGCAUCUUAGGUGCAUAUUGGUGUUUAACCAGCUCAAUAUCUUUGCUCUCUAACAACUGCAUUUGACAAGUGUGGAACCUCUUCAGUGUGGAUUGCAAUGAGAUAGGCAGUCCACAGACAGACACCCUUCUGGAACUUAAAGCAUUGACAAGUUUGUUAGGAAAUAUCUUAAACUAUAUAAAACAUUUGAAUGAUGGAAGUUUUGGAAGGUCGUGUAUAAUGCUAAGCAGUCAAAUUUCUUGAUACCUCCCAAGCACACUGCUCUAUGU